RNAcentral lists this ribosomal RNA (253 nucleotides) under uncultured bacterium. Its description in RNAcentral is "partial 16S ribosomal RNA". It matches the Rfam family "Bacterial small subunit ribosomal RNA", at positions 524 to 776 of the family's 1533-position model. The record is from RNAcentral.
UACGGAGGGGGCUAGCGUUGUUCGGAAUUACUGGGCGUAAAGCGCACGUAGGCGGCCGUUUAAGUUAGAGGUGAAAGCCCGGGGCUCAACCCCGGAAUUGCCUUUGAUACUGGAUGGCUUGAAUCCAGGAGAGGUGAGUGGAAUUCCGAGUGUAGAGGUGAAAUUCGUAGAUAUUCGGAAGAACACCAGUGGCGAAGGCGGCUCACUGGACUGGUAUUGACGCUGAGGUGCGAAAGCAUGGGGAGCAAACAGG